This 62-nucleotide transfer RNA is filed under the name Hypselodoris bullockii. RNAcentral's name for it is "tRNA-Leu". Lineage: Eukaryota; Metazoa; Mollusca; Gastropoda; Nudibranchia; Chromodorididae. The record is from RNAcentral.
GACUUGGCAGAAAACUAAUGCAAUUGAUUUAGGAUCAAUAGAUAAUAUAUUAUAUAUUAGUC